CUGGCCUCUGCUGGAAGCAGUACAUUGCAGUCACCAACACUGAAGCCCCACUGCUCAGGGUGCAGUGAUGGAAUCUCACUAUGUGGAAGAGGAUGGUCUCAAACUCUUGGCCUCAAGCAAUCCUCGUGCCUCAGCCUCCCAAAGUAUUAGUUAUUAUAGGCAUGAGUCACCACACCUGGCACCUAAGAACGUAUGUUUUUGGAAAUUCCUCCCAUCUCUGUCUGCAGAAAUAAAGUUAUAAAUUUGUCCAUGGCUUGAGA
RNAcentral lists this long non-coding RNA (260 nucleotides) under Homo sapiens (human). RNAcentral describes it as "HSALNT0346616". The record is from RNAcentral. Lineage: Eukaryota; Metazoa; Chordata; Mammalia; Primates; Hominidae.